UACGUAGGGUGCAAGCGUUGUCCGGAAUUAUUGGGCGUAAAGAGCUCGUAGGCGGUCUGUUACGUCGGAUGUGAAAACCCGAGGCUUAACCUCGGGCCUGCAUUCGAUACGGGCAGACUCGAGUGUGGUAGGGGAGACUGGAACUCCUGGUGUAGCGGUGAAAUGCGCAGAUAUCAGGAAGAACACCGGUGGCGAAGGCGGGUCUCUGGGCCACUACUGACGCUGAGGAGCGAAAGCGUGGGGAGCGAACAGG
This 253-nucleotide ribosomal RNA is filed under the name uncultured bacterium. RNAcentral's name for it is "partial 16S ribosomal RNA". It matches the Rfam family "Bacterial small subunit ribosomal RNA", at positions 524 to 776 of the family's 1533-position model. The record is from RNAcentral.